Molecule: ribosomal RNA, 479 nt
Filed under: Blastocystis sp. 356C.2
Lineage: Eukaryota; Bigyra; Opalinata; Blastocystidae
Description: SSU rRNA
Rfam family: Eukaryotic small subunit ribosomal RNA
Source: RNAcentral
GAGGUAGUGACAAUAAAUCACAAUGCGGAACUUUUAGUUUUGCAAUUGGAUUGAGAACAAUGUACAAAUGUUAUCGAUAAACAAUUGGAGGGCAAGUCUGGUGCCAGCAGCCGCGGUAAUUCCAGCUCCAAUAGCGUAUAUUAACGUUGUUGCAGUUAAAAAGCUCGUAGUUGAAAUGUGGGAUGAAGUAAAUAAUGAAUUUCUAAUUCAAUUGUAUAUUGAUUCCCCUCUCCAAUUUAUUAUUAUGGGUAUUAAUUUAUUUGUAAUAAGAAUUGGUCAUUUACUGUGAGAAAAUUAGAGUGUUCAAAGCAGGCAUUUGCUUGAAUAGAUUAGCAUGGAAUAAUACUAAAAGGCUUUUAUGGUCGAUUUAAUUGGUUCGUUCAUAAAAGCAAGAUUAAAAGGAACAGUUGGGGGUAUUCAUAUUCAAUAGUUAGAGGUGAAAUUCUCGGAUUUAUGGAAGAUGAACAAGUGCGAAAGCA